GAAAUGCGAUAAGUAAUGUGAAUUGCGGAAUUCAGUGAAUCAUCGAAUCUUUGAACGCACCUUGCGCUCCUUGGUAUUCCUCGGAGCAUGCCUGUUUGAGUAUCAUGAAAUCUUCAAAGUAAAUCUUUUGUUAACUCAAUUGGUUUCUACUUUGGUAUUGGAGGUCUUUGCAGCUUCACACCUGCUCCUCUUUGUUCAUUAGCUGGAUCUCAGUGUUAUGCUUGGUUCCACUCGGCGUGAUAAGUUAUCUAUCGCUGAGGACACUGUAAAAGGUGGCCAAGGUAAAUGCAGAUGAACCGCUUCUAAUAGUCCAUUGACUUGGACAAUACUUUUAUGAUCUGAUCUCAAAUCAGGUAGGACUACCCGCUGAACUUAAGC
This 378-nucleotide unclassified non-coding RNA is filed under the name plant metagenome. RNAcentral describes it as "partial contains 5.8S ribosomal RNA, internal transcribed spacer 2, and large subunit ribosomal RNA". The stretch from base 1 to 105 matches the Rfam family "5.8S ribosomal RNA", at positions 50 to 154 of the family's 154-position model. The record is from RNAcentral.